UCACCGUUUAAAGAUUUCAACAUCAUUGUCAUAUCUGAAUCUGAAUAUGGUGGCUUUAGCUCUUCAGACAGAGGAGAUUUUGUUUCUUUAUUUUGCCUUUCCAUUUUUUUGUAGUUUUAUUUUGUUGUUGUUGAAAUCCUCAAAGUUUAUCCCAGUAAUAGAAACUCAAAUAACCUAAAACUUUCUUGCUAACAUUUCUGUAAACAAAUAGUUAUUAUUUAGAUUAAAAAUAAGAAAAAUAAAAGAUUACAUAUUGUCUUUACGUAUUUUUUCUUCAAUUGUCUUUUUUUUCUACAAUUCCUUUUUUUCUUUAUGUAGAAUCAAGUUUUGGGCAUUUAGGUGCUAUAAUAACAGACAAAAAGUGAUAUUAAUAAUAGACAAAAACUUUACAAAGUGAGUAACAGGCAGAUUAAUAAAAUACAAAUCCAGAAGGCUGAGAUGAAUAACACUCUUUUACACAUGCAUACAUACACACACAUACACAUACACACACACACAAAAUUAGGUUUAGGUGUUUAGUGUGGGAAUUUGUGUUAGUAUGACUAAAAAUUGACUAUCUUUAAUGUUUGUUGUAGCUAUAUGUGCCAUUUUCUUCAAAUUCCUCUAGUGUCCUUGUUUCUGUUCUCUCUUGACCUUAAUCUUACUUAAGUACUUUUCUUGCAGGCUGUAUCUACAUCGCUUUCAGCUGUAACCCACUGUUAUAGUAGAUACUCAAUGGCAUGAUAGUAAGGUGUGAGGAAGAAAAAAAGUUCUACAAUGGCUUGCAUUCUUGGAAGGUAAAGGGAUAAGAAGCUGUGAAGGUUACGUAAUGGAGAUGAAAGGCAAGCUACAGGAAGUGAAAUUGGCAAUUCUUCUUGGUCCCUGUUUGGGAAAAUGUGAAUCUCAUCCUCUCAGUUUCUAGUUUGACAGACUAUAAGAGGAGUCUAUCAAGAAACCAUGUACAGAAAUAUCAAGUAAAAUAUAUCAUAAAAAAGGGACUCUGAGAACCUAGUGACCUGAAAAAAUGUUACUUAUGAAACUAAUGACCUAAGAAUGCCUUUAAAUCGAAGAGCAUCUAGUACAGCAAAGAGACCUUCAAAAUGGGCAUGUAAGCACUGAUCCAGAUAGAAGAUUAAAUAGCACGAUAUAUUAAAAAGCAUAAGAGUUAGAGACGAAUGCUGAAAGACCAUGAAAAAUCUCAGAGACAAGUCAUUUCUGGGACAAUAAAUAGCGGAAGACAGCAUUUAACAAUGAAUUAAGGGAAAUUCCAUUCUUUCCUGUAUUUCAGCACUGCGGAAGUCUACGAAGCAGUUAAUGUUAAGAAAUACCAUUGACUAAAAAAAAAAAAAUGAUUUUCUGCAUUGGAUGUUAAAAGAUAUGAAGCAAGAAAUUGACCAUUCAGUGGAACAAUGUGAAUCCUAAAUUAUCUAAAUAAAAACAAGAGGAUCAGUUAAUUCAGAAAAAAGAAUUGUAUAAAUUCUGGAACUCGGUAGAUAUAUUCUCCUUAACAAAUUCUGGCAAAGAAUUCUCCCAAUCACUUAUUCAUUAGGGAUUGAGAAUUGACACUAGAAACAGAUAACUUGUGCUUAAUAUUGUGCUUAAGCUUUAAGCAUAGAAAAUUUCCUUGAUGCAAGGGGGUUACUGUGUCACCUCAAGUUAAAAGGCAAUUUAGGAAGUGAUAUGUAACUAGCAGUUUGAAAGUAUUCUAAAUAUUACUUGCUAACAAAAUUCACUCUCUACAGAAGGGACAUACCUAACAAAGAAUACAUCUUGCAGAUUGCUACAUAAAGAGUAAGUACAUUGACAAAUAUUAUGUACUUAAAAUAUAUACAGCUCUGUACUUAGCAUGCCACAUAGAAUUCCUUAAUAUUCCUCUUAACAGCUGUACAAGUUAACUUGACUUUUAUACGCAUUAUACACAUGAAAAAAAUGAGAUGAGAAAGGCCAAAUAAAAUGAAUGAAUGAAUGAAUGAGUUUUUAAAAUUUAUUUUGACAUGAGAGCCAAUCCUAUCAGCCUUGCUGAUUUCUUCAAAAUACUUGCAAAUAAGUUGCUAUAAUAUAAAAACAUCUUCUUAUUGUUUCUCUCUCCUUAAGGAUUUCUCUGAGACAUUUCUAAUAUUUAAAUCUUUUUUCCCAUAGGUUGUCUUUCACGGUACUUUGUAUACACUACUUUGGGUUCAUAUGCCUCAAGUGAAAAAUUGGUCUAAUAACAUUAAUACCUCUGUCACAACCCCAUUGCACAUGAUCAGUUCUAAUAAUGGGUUUUAAAGUAAUUUUGUUUUAUUUUAAAUUACUAUUCAGAUAUCAGUCACUAUGACAUCAGACUUUUUACUCUCUGUGAUAGUUAUAUAUCAACUUAGCUGGAGUAUAGUAUCAAGUUAUUCAAUAAAACACUAAUCUAGGUGUCACUGUGAAGGGAUUUUGUAGAUAUGAUUAACAUCUACAUUUAGUUGACACUAAGUAAAGGAGAUUUUCCUUGAUAAUGUGGUCAAGCCUCAUCCAAUCAAUUGAAAGGCCUGAGCUUUUCUAGAGGAAGAAGUAAUUUUAUCUCAGGACUCCAGCAUUAGCUACUGCUGGACAAUCCCAGCAUCCCAACCUGCCCAACAGAUUUUAGACUAGACUUACCACCUCAUAUGAGCACAUAGCAGAUUCCCAGAAAUCAAUCUAUCUACCUAUGUAUCUAUCAAUCUAUCAUCUCUCUCCUACUGCUUCUGUUUCUGUAGAUGACACUGACAGAUGUGAAUAUUCACAUAAAAGCUGUCAAUAUGCAUGUUCCUUCCUACUACUUGUACCAAUUAAGCAAAGAGUGUAACGGAUGCAUAUUUUUCUAAAGAAUUUCUGUAUGUGUUCUCCGAUUAUUGGUCAGAAAUAAAAAUAUGUUUAUAAUGCAAAAUUCAUAAAAUGUGUAUAAAUGAUAAUGUAUAUGCCUAUAUAAGUGUGUGUUUUUCUGUGUAUACAUAUAUGUAUAUAUGAGUGUGUGUGUAUGUGUGUGCAUUUUUUUGUAACUGAUACUGUGGCCUUUUAUAUCUACCAAAAUCCAGGACUAGUUUAGAAAAGAAAUUACAGCAGCAUUCUAAAAUUUACUUGUUUGAUAUAAAUAUAUUUUUGUAACUUUUUUUGCCUGACAUUUGUGCUGUAAAUCAAAAGUACUUUUGUGAAAGCAAUUUUUUUAAACAAUCUUCUCUGAAAUUGUGUAGGAGGAAGUGAAUCGCUACCACUCAAUCCUGACAUUAAUUCAACAGACACAUAUUUUGAUUUCUGAAGAAUUAUGGAAACAUUCUUUCAGAAGAGAACAAUGAAAGAUAGCAUUCUGUGUUUAGCACAUUUCCCCUUUCCAAGUGGCAGUGGAGCGUUGUAACAGCAAAGUAAAUUGCUUCUUAUUUCUAUGUGCUUUUUAAAACUGUGACACUGACUGAGCUGAACCACCAAGACCACAUCUGUACACAGCUAAAUAAAAGGUUUUACAUGAUGGCAAAACUGGGCAGAAUUAAUUUGUCCUUGGAUGUACUGAUGAUUGCAAUGCUUACACCACUGCUUUAUACACAGUAGGGUAACACUCAGAGUACUAUCAUGAAAUUCAG
Molecule: long non-coding RNA, 3560 nt
Filed under: Homo sapiens (human)
Lineage: Eukaryota; Metazoa; Chordata; Mammalia; Primates; Hominidae
Description: HSALNT0335685
Source: RNAcentral